ACUCCUACGGGAGGCAGCAGUGGGGAAUAUUGCACAAUGGGCGAAAGCCUGAUGCAGCAACGCCGCGUGCGGGAAGAAGGCCUUAGGGUUGUAAACCGCUUUCAGCAGGGAAGAAACUGACGGUACCUGCAGAAGAAGGUGCGGCCAACUACGUGCCAGCAGCCGCGGUGACACGUAGGCACCAAGCGUUGUCCGGAUUUAUUGGGCGUAAAGAGCUCGUAGGCGGUUCAGUAAGUCGGGUGUGAAAACUCUGGGCUCAACCCAGAGACGCCACCCGAUACUGCUGUGACUUGAGUACGGUAGGGGAGUGGGGAAUUCCUGGUGUAGCGGUGAAAUGCGCAGAUAUCAGGAGGAACACCAGUGGCGAAGGCGCCACUCUGGGCCGUAACUGACGCUGAGGAGCGAAAGCGUGGGUAGCAAACAGGAUUAGAUACCCUGGUAGUCCACGCCGUAAACGUUGGGCACUAGGUGUGGGUCUCAACCAACGAG
RNAcentral lists this ribosomal RNA (489 nucleotides) under uncultured Actinomycetes bacterium. RNAcentral describes it as "bacterial SSU rRNA". It matches the Rfam family "Bacterial small subunit ribosomal RNA", at positions 335 to 838 of the family's 1533-position model. The record is from RNAcentral. Lineage: Bacteria; Bacillati; Actinomycetota; Actinomycetes.